RNAcentral lists this unclassified non-coding RNA (386 nucleotides) under Hevea brasiliensis (rubber tree). Lineage: Eukaryota; Viridiplantae; Streptophyta; Magnoliopsida; Malpighiales; Euphorbiaceae. The record is from RNAcentral.
AUCGGAGAAACAUUCUCCGGCGACGGAGCCGGCCAACAUCCGACCGUGGAAUCUACGGCACCUUAUCCAACGACUCCAAUCAUGAGUCUUCCUGUAUCAGCUCAUACAUUACCCAAAAUUACGACCACAAAACUGAAUACAAAGAGAAAGGACAGAGAUAUUAUCGCGAUUUAAAGGAAAAUGAGAACAAUUUGUACUUUACUGAGUCAAAUCGGUGGAAUCGGGACCGAGUCGAUUUAGUUGAAGUUACAAGCAAAGUAGGAGAGGAUGAUGACGAGGAGAUGGAGAAUGAUGACCUGGUUGGUGACUCUGUGGACACGGCGGGCGAACUCGGGGACAACUCCUCUCCAAAUUUGCUCGAGUGUAUGGCUCGAUUGGUGAUUAAG